Molecule: ribosomal RNA, 390 nt
Filed under: uncultured bacterium
Lineage: Bacteria
Description: bacterial SSU rRNA
Rfam family: Bacterial small subunit ribosomal RNA
Source: RNAcentral
AUUGAACGCUGGCGGCAUGCCUUACACAUGCAAGUCGAACGGCAGCACGGGGGCAACCCUGGUGGCGAGUGGCGAACGGGUGAGUAAUGCAUCGGAACGUGCCCCGUACGCGGGGGAGUAACCAGUCGAAAGACUGGCUAAUACCGCAUACGCUCCACGGAGGAAAGACAGGGGAUCGCAAGACCUUGCACUAUGGGAGCGGCCGAUGCCCGAUUAGCUAGUUGGUGAGGUAAAGGCUCACCAAGGCGACGAUCGGUAGCUGGUUUGAGAGAACGACCAGCCACACUGGGACUGAGACACGGCCCAGACUCCUACGGGAGGCAGCAGUGGGGAAUAUUGGACAAUGGGCGCAAGCCUGAUCCAGCGAUGCCGCGUGUGUGAAGGAAGGCC